GUUAUGAUUUAUGUUUGUUCGUCUGUUUAUUUGUUUAUAAUUUUGUGAACAAAUAAACAGACGAACAAACAUAAAUCAUAACC
Molecule: microRNA precursor, 83 nt
Filed under: Podarcis lilfordi (Lilford's wall lizard)
Lineage: Eukaryota; Metazoa; Chordata; Lepidosauria; Squamata; Lacertidae
Source: RNAcentral